This 467-nucleotide ribosomal RNA is filed under the name uncultured bacterium. RNAcentral describes it as "partial 16S ribosomal RNA". It matches the Rfam family "Bacterial small subunit ribosomal RNA", at positions 28 to 507 of the family's 1533-position model. The record is from RNAcentral.
GACGAACGCUGGCGGCGUGCUUAACACAUGCAAGUCGAACGGAAAGGCCCUGCUUUUGUGGGGUGCUCGAGUGGCGAACGGGUGAGUAACACGUGAGUAACCUGCCCUUGACUUUGGGAUAACUUCAGGAAACUGGGGCUAAUACCGGAUAGGAGCUCCUGCUGCAUGGUGGGGGUUGGAAAGUUUCGGCGGUUGGGAUGGACUCGCGGCUUAUCAGCUUGUUGGUGGGGUAGUGGCUUACCAAGGCUUUGCCGGGUAGCCGGCCUGAGAGGGUGACCGGCCACAUUGGGACUGAGAUACGGCCCAGACUCCUACGGGAGGCAGCAGUGGGGAAUAUUGCACAAUGGGCGGAAGCCUGAUGCAGCAACGCCGCGUGCGGGAUGACGGCCUUCGGGUUGUAAACCGCUUUCGCCUGUGACGAAGCGUGAGUGACGGUAAUGGGUAAAGAAGCACCGGCUAACUACGUG